Molecule: ribosomal RNA, 388 nt
Filed under: uncultured bacterium
Lineage: Bacteria
Description: bacterial SSU rRNA
Rfam family: Bacterial small subunit ribosomal RNA
Source: RNAcentral
AUUGAACGCUGGCGGCGUGCCUAACACAUGCAAGUCGAGCGGUAACAGGUGUAGCAAUACAUGCUGACGAGCGGCGGACGGGUGAGUAACGCUUGGGAAUCUGCCUAUUAGGUGGGGGACAACCCGGGGAAACUCGGGCUAAUACCGCAUACGCUCUACGGAGGAAAGCCGGGGACCGCAAGGCCUGGCGCUAAUAGAUGAGCCCAAGUCGGAUUAGCUAGUUGGUAGGGUAAGGCCUACCAAGGCGACGAUCCGUAACUGGUCUGAGAGGACGACCAGUCACACCGGAACUGAGACACGGUCCGGACUCCUACGGGAGGCAGCAGUGGGGAAUAUUGGACAAUGGGCGAAAGCCUGAUCCAGCGACGCCGCGUGGGUGAAGAAGGCC